This 339-nucleotide ribosomal RNA is filed under the name Escherichia coli. RNAcentral's name for it is "partial 23S ribosomal RNA". It matches the Rfam family "Bacterial large subunit ribosomal RNA", at positions 1549 to 1869 of the family's 2925-position model. Lineage: Bacteria; Pseudomonadati; Pseudomonadota; Gammaproteobacteria; Enterobacterales; Enterobacteriaceae. The record is from RNAcentral.
AUCAAGGCUGAGGCGUGAUGACGAGGCACUACGGUGCUGAAGCAACAAAUGCCCUGCUUCCAGGAAAAGCCUCUAAGCAUCAGGUAACAUCAAAUCGUACCCCAAACCGACACAGGUGGUCAGGUAGAGAAUACCAAGGCGCUUGAGAGAACUCGGGUGAAGGAACUAGGCAAAAUGGUGCCGUAACUUCGGGAGAAGGCACGCUGAUAUGUAGGUGAAGCGACUUGCUCGUGGAGCUGAAAUCAGUCGAAGAUACCAGCUGGCUGCAACUGUUUAUUAAAAACACAGCACUGUGCAAACACGAAAGUGGACGUAUACGGUGUGACGCCUGCCCGGUGC